Molecule: ribosomal RNA, 253 nt
Filed under: uncultured bacterium
Lineage: Bacteria
Description: partial 16S ribosomal RNA
Rfam family: Bacterial small subunit ribosomal RNA
Source: RNAcentral
UACGAAGGGGGCUAGCGUUGCUCGGAAUUACUGGGCGUAAAGCGCACGUAGGCGGUUUGUUAAGUCGGGGGUGAAAUCCUGGAGCUCAACUCCAGAACUGCCUUCGAUACUGGCGAUCUCGAGUUCGGGAGAGGUGAGUGGAACUGCGAGUGUAGAGGUGAAAUUCGUAGAUAUUCGCAAGAACACCAGUGGCAAAGGCGACUUCCUGGACUGUUCUUGACGCUGAGGCGCGAAAGCUAGGGGAGCAAACGGG